This 104-nucleotide small nuclear RNA is filed under the name Nannospalax galili (Upper Galilee mountains blind mole rat). The record is from RNAcentral. Lineage: Eukaryota; Metazoa; Chordata; Mammalia; Rodentia; Spalacidae.
UUGCUCGCUUCAGCAGCACAUAUACUAAAAUUGGAAUGAUACAGAGAUUAGCAUGGCCCCUGCACAAGGAUGACAUGCAAAUUCAUGAAGCGUUCCAUAUCUUU